Molecule: ribosomal RNA, 486 nt
Filed under: Leptogomphus gestroi
Lineage: Eukaryota; Metazoa; Arthropoda; Insecta; Odonata; Aeshnidae
Description: eukaryotic LSU rRNA
Source: RNAcentral
UCUGGGAGUAAACGGGUGGUACCCGAAAGUUCGAAAGGGGAGAUUCAAGUCUCGCCGCGCGCUGGGCGGUGGACGCGAACAGGGAUGGUGAUCUCGCGGUCGAGGGGCGACUCUCGGUCCGUAGGGUGAACCACUCCGCGGCCGCCGUGUCUCCCAGCGUCGGAGUGACGCACUUCUCCCCGAGUAGUACGUCGCGACCCGUCGGGCGCCGGCCUAAGGUCCCGGGAGGAGUCUGUGCAGUCUGCGAAAGCCGACCGCGCACGACCUCGGGAAUCCUGGCCGGGAGCUCGACGGUAGGAAGCUCGGGAGGAGUCGACGCGCCAAACUUUCGGCGUCCGGCCCUCCGCAAGCGCCCGCGGGAGUCUGUGACUUGUGCCUCGCACGAUCACGGUCCCUCUGCGGGGCUGUUUGCGAUUCGGAGGUGUUCUCGGAUGGCGUUGAUUUCCUCAGUCGGCGACGCUUCAGCUUGGAUGGCCUACCCGACCC